AGUCACUGACAUUAGAUACCCCCGUAGUCCAGGGUGUAAACGCUGCAGACUUGGUGUUGGAAGCCCUUUGGGGGCAUUCAGUGCCGGAGAGAAGUUGUUAAGUCUGCUACUUGGGGAGUACGUCCGCAAGGAUGAAACUUAAGGAAUUGGCGGGGGAGCACCGCAACGGGAGGAGCGUGCGGUUUAAUUGGAUUCAACACCGUAAAACUCACCAGGGAAGACUGUUACAUGAAGGCCGAGAUGAAGACUCUGCUAGAUUUUCAG
RNAcentral lists this ribosomal RNA (264 nucleotides) under uncultured archaeon. RNAcentral describes it as "partial 16S ribosomal RNA". It matches the Rfam family "Archaeal small subunit ribosomal RNA", at positions 718 to 982 of the family's 1478-position model. The record is from RNAcentral.